This 91-nucleotide transfer RNA is filed under the name Clostridia bacterium. RNAcentral describes it as "tRNA-Ser". It matches the Rfam family "tRNA". From Rfam's summary of the family: Transfer RNA (tRNA) molecules are approximately 80 nucleotides in length. Their secondary structure includes four short double-helical elements and three loops (D, anti-codon, and T loops). Further hydrogen bonds mediate the characteristic L-shaped molecular structure. tRNAs have two regions of fundamental functional importance: the anti-codon, which is responsible for specific mRNA codon recognition, and the 3' end, to which the tRNAs corresponding amino acid is attached (by aminoacyl-tRNA synthetases). tRNAs cope with the degeneracy of the genetic code in two manners: having more than one tRNA (with a specific anti-codon) for a particular amino acid; and 'wobble' base-pairing, i.e. permitting non-standard base-pairing at the 3rd anti-codon position. The record is from RNAcentral. Lineage: Bacteria; Bacillati; Bacillota; Clostridia.
GGAGAGUUGGCUGAGCGGUCGAAGGCGGCGGUCUUGAAAACCGUUGAGGGUUGAUAGCCCUCCUGGGGUUCGAAUCCCUAACUCUCCGCCA